AGGAUAGAGGCCUACCAUGGUGGUAACGGGUAACGGGGUGUUAGGGCACGACACCGGAGAGGGAGCCUGAGAAACGGCUACCACAUUCAAGGAUGGCAGCAGGCGCGCAAAUUACCCAAUCCCGACACGGGGAGGUAGUGACAAUAAAUAACAAUACGGGGUUCUUUCGGAUCUCGUAAUUGGAAUGAGUACAAUUUAAAUCUCUUAACGAGGAACAAUUGGAGGGCAAGUCUGGUGCCAGCAGCCGCGGUAAUUCCAGCUCCAAUAGCGUAUAUUAAAGUUGUUGCAGUUAAAAAGCUCGUAGUUGAAUUUCGGGGUUAGUAGGUUGGUCAUGCCUCUGGUAUGUACUGAUCUCACUGAUUCCUCCUUCCUGAUGAACCGUAAUGCCAUUAAUUUGGUGUUGCGGGGAAUUUGGACUGUUACUUUGAAAAAAUUAGAGUGUUUAAAGCAAGCUAACGCUUGAAUACAUUAGCAUGGAAUAAUGAAAUAGGACGUUCGAUCCUAUUUUGUUGGUUUCUAGGAUUGACGUAAUGAUUAAUAGGGAUAGUUGGGGGCAUUAGUAUUCGAUUGUCAGAGGUGAAAUUCUUGGAUUUAUUGAAGACUAACUACUGCGAAAGCAUUUGCCAAGGAUGUUUUCAUUAAUCAAGAACGAAAGUUAGGGGAUCGAAGACGAUCAGAUACCGUCGUAGUCUUAACCAUAAACUAUGCCGACUAGGGAUCGGAUGAU
RNAcentral lists this ribosomal RNA (727 nucleotides) under uncultured fungus. Its description in RNAcentral is "SSU rRNA". It matches the Rfam family "Eukaryotic small subunit ribosomal RNA", at positions 330 to 1061 of the family's 1831-position model. Lineage: Eukaryota; Fungi. The record is from RNAcentral.